RNAcentral lists this ribosomal RNA (253 nucleotides) under uncultured bacterium. RNAcentral's name for it is "partial 16S ribosomal RNA". It matches the Rfam family "Bacterial small subunit ribosomal RNA", at positions 524 to 776 of the family's 1533-position model. The record is from RNAcentral.
UACGUAGGGGGCAAGCGUUGUCCGGAAUCAUUGGGCGUAAAGCGUGUGUAGGCUGCUCUGCAAGUCGGAUGUUAAAGCCCUGGGCUCAACCUAGGAAGUGCAUUCGAAACUGCAGAGCUCGAGUCCUGGAGAGGAAGGCGGAAUUCUCGGUGUAGAGGUGAAAUUCGUAGAUAUCGAGAGGAACACCGGUGGCGAAGGCGGCCUUCUGGACAGUGACUGACGCUGAGACACGAAAGCGUGGGGAGCAAACAGG